GGUUGUAAACUGAAUAAAAGUGGCUCCCUACGAAGCUUGGAAUCCGUGGGUGGACAGCUUCCAUCCCCCGCUCCCGCACCUGCCAGCGGGGACAACUUGGACUUUUCCUACCAGGGGUUGACUCAAACCGGGCGACCUGUGGGUCGGAGUCCGCUGCCCCCUGGUGGCGUCCGGGCGGCUUCCGGACGGCGUGGGCCCGACGGCUGUGACUCAGGGGUGGCGCCGCGGCCGCGCGGCGGGAGGCCCGGCUGGGGUUCCGCCGUGGGCCGAGCCGCCACGGCGCAAUUAAUUACCAGCUGCUGGGAAUCCUUGUCGCCCGCUCGCGGUGACUCACCGGGCGGUCAGGCUCAUUCGCCGAGCGUGGGGGCCUCGGUUUCCAAAAUGAAUUUCGGGGAGCGCGCCCGCUAGCGGGUGGGGCUCCCCGCCCCCGCGCCCGAGGGCGAGCUCGGACCCAGAGGGGACCCGGCGGCCCAGACGUCGCCCGCAGCGCGGGUUCCCUUCCCCGCAACAGGAAGCGGACGGGGGAAAGCGGCGUCCUCCCCAGCGGCCCCAUCCCAGGAGCCGCGGCUCCUGCAAUCCUCAGCGCUCCCCGGCCGGGGCUGGGCCGACCGGCCGGCGGCACCCUCCGGAUCCGACGCGGCCCUCCGGAUCCCAGCGGGCCAAGAGGAGGUGCAUCCAGACCCAUGACACACGCCCGCGGCCAGGUGGCUGACCCCGGGGGAAGCCGCGAGCGGCGGCGCGCUCCCCUCGGGCGUCCGCGGACCCGCCCCUCGUGCUCCCACUCUCCGCUGGAUUUCUCCUCUCCCUUAAGCUGCCUGUCUGCCUUCUCCGGCUGCAUGCCGUCUCUGUGUCCGAGUCCGGGUCUCUCAAACUCUCCGCCUCUCGGGGAGCUGGACUCGAGCCGCCCGAGAAGCCUCAUUUAUCCUCCCAUCCCCCUGCCAAAUCC
Long non-coding RNA from Bos taurus (domestic cattle), 946 nucleotides. NCBI's taxonomy places the organism in Eukaryota, Metazoa, Chordata, Mammalia, Artiodactyla, Bovidae. The record is from Ensembl.